GAUGAACGCUGGCGGUAGGCCUAACACAUGCAAGUCGAACGGCAGCACAGGAGAGCUUGCUCUCUGGGUGGCGAGUGGCGGACGGGUGAGGAAUACAUCGGAAUCUACCUUUUCGUGGGGGAUAACGUAGGGAAACUUACGCUAAUACCGCAUACGAUCCAAGGAUGAAAGCAGGGGACCUUCGGGCCUUGUGCUCCUGG
RNAcentral lists this ribosomal RNA (200 nucleotides) under uncultured bacterium. RNAcentral describes it as "partial 16S ribosomal RNA". It matches the Rfam family "Bacterial small subunit ribosomal RNA", at positions 28 to 222 of the family's 1533-position model. The record is from RNAcentral.